UGAACGCUAGCGGCAGGCCUAAUACAUGCAAGUCGAACGGUAACAUGAGAGCUUGCUCUUGAUGACGAGUGGCGCACGGGUGCGUAACGCGUAUGCAACCUACCCUUUACUGGGGGAUAGCCCGGAGAAAUUCGGAUUAAUACCCCAUGGUACUAUAAAGCAGCAUUGCUUACUAGUUAAAGAUUUAUUGGUAAAGGAUGGGCAUGCGUGACAUUAGUUAGUUGGUGAGGUAAUGGCUCACCAAGACGAUGAUGUCUAGGGGUUCUGAGAGGAAGAUCCCCCACACUGGUACUGAGACACGGACCAGACUCCUACGGGAGGCAGCAGUAGGGAAUAUUGGUCAAUGGACGCAAGUCUGAACCAGCCAUGCCGCGUGCAGGAUGACAGCUUUCUGAGUUGUAAACUGCUUUUAUAUAGGAACAAAGAGGCCAUGCGUGGCAAGUUGCGUGUACUAUAUGAAUAAGCACCGGCUAACUCC
This 478-nucleotide ribosomal RNA is filed under the name uncultured bacterium. RNAcentral describes it as "bacterial SSU rRNA". It matches the Rfam family "Bacterial small subunit ribosomal RNA", at positions 30 to 504 of the family's 1533-position model. The record is from RNAcentral.